UAGCGUAUAUUAAAGUUGUUGCAGUUAGAACGCUCGUAGUCGGAUUUCGGGGCGGGUCGACCGGUCUGCCGAUGGGUAUGCACUGGCCGACGCGUCCUUUUUGCCGGAGACCGUCCCUACUCUUAACUGAGCGGGGGCGGGAGACGGCACUUUUACUUUGAAAAAAUCAGAGUGUUUCAAGCAGGCAGCUCGCUCUUGCAUGGAUUAGCAUGGGAUAAUGAAAUAGGACUUUGGUGCUAUUUUGUUGGUUUCGAACACCGAAGUAAUGAUGAGAAGGGACAGUCAGGGGCACUCGUAUUCCGCCGAGAGAGGUGAAAUUCUCAGACCAGCGGAAGACGAACCACUGCGAAAGCAUUUG
RNAcentral lists this ribosomal RNA (358 nucleotides) under Haptophyta environmental samples. RNAcentral describes it as "SSU rRNA". It matches the Rfam family "Eukaryotic small subunit ribosomal RNA", at positions 595 to 957 of the family's 1831-position model. The record is from RNAcentral. Lineage: Eukaryota; Haptophyta.